CCUACGGGGGGCAGCAGUGAGGAAUAUUGGUCAAUGGACGCAAGCCUGAACCAGCCAUGCCGCGUGCAGGAAGACGGCCCUAUGAGUUGUAAACUGCUUUUGUACGAGGGUAAACGCAGAUACGCGUAUCUGUCUGAAAGUAUCGUACGAAUAAGGAUCGGCUAACUCCGUGCCAGCAGCCGCGGUAAUACGGAGGAUUCAAGCGUUAUCCGGAUUUAUUGGGUUUAAAGGGUGCGUAGGCGGUCGGAUAAGUUAGAGGUGAAAUCCCGAGGCUCAACUUCGGAAUUGCCUCUGAUACUGUUCGGCUAGAGAGUAGUUGCGGUAGGCGGAAUGUAUGGUGUAGCGGUGAAAUGCUUAGAGAUCAUACAGAACACCGAUUGCGAAGGCAGCUUACCAAGCUACUUCUGACGUUGAGGCACGAAAGCGUGGGGAGCAAACAGGAGUAGAUACCCGGGUAGUC
Molecule: ribosomal RNA, 460 nt
Filed under: uncultured bacterium
Lineage: Bacteria
Description: partial 16S ribosomal RNA
Rfam family: Bacterial small subunit ribosomal RNA
Source: RNAcentral